RNAcentral lists this ribosomal RNA (329 nucleotides) under uncultured Anoxybacillus sp. RNAcentral describes it as "bacterial SSU rRNA". It matches the Rfam family "Bacterial small subunit ribosomal RNA", at positions 1051 to 1382 of the family's 1533-position model. The record is from RNAcentral. Lineage: Bacteria; Bacillati; Bacillota; Bacilli; Caryophanales; Anoxybacillaceae.
GUCGUCAGCUCGUGUCGUGAGAUGUGGGUUAAGUCCCGCAACGAGCGCAACCCUCGACCUUAGUUGCCAGCAUUCAGUUGGGCACUCUAAGGUGACUGCCGGCUAAAAGUCGGAGGAAGGUGGGGAUGACGUCAAAUCAUCAUGCCCCUUAUGACCUGGGCUACACACGUGCUACAAUGGGCGGUACAAAGGGUCGCGAACCCGCGAGGGGGAGCCAAUCCCAAAAAGCCGCUCUCAGUUCGGAUUGCAGGCUGCAACUCGCCUGCAUGAAGCCGGAAUCGCUAGUAAUCGCGGAUCAGCAUGCCGCGGUGAAUACGUUCCCGGGCCUU